GACAACAAAAUCAAGGUCAGAGAGGUCAGUAUCAAAUCGAUUCUAAUAGAAAUCCGACCUAUGAAAUCCAGGCAAUUACCACUUUAAGGUCUGGCAAACAAGUGGACAACAAAGUCCAACUUCCUGAAAAAGAAAAUAAAAAUGAAUCCGAUAAGAACCCUUUUCCAGUAGACUUCAGAACUCCAAGAAACAAUCUAACUUUGAUGAAAUAAUGGAAGUCUUUAAAACUGUUCAAAUAAAUAUACCUUUUC
RNAcentral lists this long non-coding RNA (251 nucleotides) under Phoenix dactylifera (date palm). Its description in RNAcentral is "long non-coding RNA (PDAC_LNC013638)". The record is from RNAcentral. Lineage: Eukaryota; Viridiplantae; Streptophyta; Magnoliopsida; Arecales; Arecaceae.